Cucurbita moschata (crookneck pumpkin) is the source of this 560-nucleotide long non-coding RNA. RefSeq lists it as uncharacterized. The transcript is spliced from 2 exons. NCBI's taxonomy places the organism in Eukaryota, Viridiplantae, Streptophyta, Magnoliopsida, Cucurbitales, Cucurbitaceae. The record is from RefSeq and is a predicted model, not a curated record.
UUUCCAUAUCCAUUUGGCUAGGAGGACUUUGUUCUUCUCCUCUAUUGAAUAUAGGCCAAGACUUCUCUUGUCUAACGGGAGAUUUAUGGUAUUCAAUCGAACAAGAUGUGAUCCCACUUUCCACAUAUAGUUUCUGAAUAAUCUUUCUAUGUCUAUAGUCACUUUGAGACAUUUCGAAUAGAGACAUGUAGUAAGUAGGAAGGUUAGACAAUGUGUCUUGUGUUAGAGCGAGUCUUCCGCCUUUGGAACUGUAGCACGAUGAUCAUGUCUAUAACCUUAUUUCUAUGUUUUCAAUGAUGGUCUUUCAAAAGGAGAAAGGUUUAGGGUUCCCAUUUAAGGGCAUUCCCAAGUACAUAUUCGAUCAUUCACCAUUUUUACAACCUUAUUUGUUGAUGGAGUUGUCAAUAUCCACUGUCCUAACAUUGAUGUCCAUUAUCUCUAUUUCUUGUCGGUUGAUGCUUUGCCUCGAGAACCUCUGGAAGGUUUUCACUGUAUCAAGCAUGUUUUUUACAUUUUUAAUUUAAGAUAUUAGGGAACAAGAAACAAGAAAUGAUUACAAA